Molecule: long non-coding RNA, 168 nt
Organism: Sphaeramia orbicularis (orbiculate cardinalfish)
Lineage: Eukaryota; Metazoa; Chordata; Actinopteri; Kurtiformes; Apogonidae
Exons: 3
Source: RefSeq, a predicted model, not a curated record
UGAAUGUGAAGGUGAUUGUCUGUGUCUCUAUAUGUCAGCUCUGCGAUGAACUGGCAACAUGUCCAGGGUGUACCCCGCCUUCGCUCAUAAGUAGCUGGGAUACGCUCCAGCGACCCCUGCAACCCUGGUGGGGAUAAAGCGGGUUCAGAUAAUGAAUGAAUGAAUGAA